CUUGGAGUUGUGAGCUCAAGCCCAACAUUAGGUAUAGAAAUUGUUUAAAAAUAAAAUCUUUAAAAAAAAAAUGUAAGAAGCACCUAGAAAAAUUUGGAAGAUGGGAUAUUCAGCAAGACAGCUGCCCCCAUCUUCUUAACACAUUGGUGUCAUGAGAAAAGGGAUUACUUUAGAUUAAAAGAGACUUAAGAUACAUAAUCAGAAUCAAUUCUUGUUUCUAGAUUGGACCCUGGUUUAGACAGACAAGUGGCAAAGGAUCUUUUUGAAGAGACAACUGGGAAGAUUUGAAUUCAGACUAUUAGAUGAGAUGAAAAUGUAUUAUCUUGGAAGACUUUCUAUGGGCAAGAUAUUUUACAAGUUCUUAGUGCUGGCGUAUAUCUGAAUUUUUGGAUGUAUUCCUCCUGAGACUAAUAUGCCUGCUGUAUUCAAAACACCUUCAGCAUCAGUGUUGGGAAGACCAACCAAAAUCUUAAUAACAAAGUACCGCCCAGCCUGGGUCUAAAAUCAGACUGAGAAGGAGAAUUAUAUGACAAUGGGGAACCACAUCCAUACCUUCAGCCCAGCCCUGUCCUUCAAACUCUGAAGAUUAUUCAGAGUCAACCCCAGGACACUAGUGAGUGUGGGAAGCUCUUGGAGGGGUGAGGAGUGGGAGGAUACCAGGGACCUGAAAGAUCUUAUGAAGUUUCCUGCCAAGCUGGCCUAGGAUUAACCCAUCAUUUCCCAGCCAGAGUUAUCCCAGCUGUCUUGCUUUCCUGGGGCCUCUCAUGUUAAUCUAUGGAAUUGACCAACUGAGUUUGACCGUGACUGGCUUUGUUUUGCAAAACAAAAUUGGUAAGGCAGGCCUCAUGCUGACUGACUGAAUGGUGUCAUCAACCCAAUUCAAGGGGUGCCACAAAAGCAAGGAAAUGAAACUUCAAUUUCCUCCUCAUGUUAAAUGAUAGCUUAUCAUACUGAUUAUGACCCUUAUGCAGCUCAGGGCAAAGUAUUUUAUUGCUUUUGUUGUGAACAGCAAUAAACUACUCUCAUCUUCCACAUUUUCCUCCAACUCCUACCCCCACCCCACACCUGAUUAAGGCUCAUCCAAAAGGACUGUUCUUUUUUGUCAAUGGUCUGAAAACCAAAGCCUUCUUUUUUUUAUACCCCCCCCCCCCAACCUGUCAGGAUUUUACCUUUAUUCUAGUAGGCCCAAGAUUUGCUUUAAAACAGAAACAAACAACCAAAGAGAGGUGGGGAAAAAGCCCUUCUAAUAUCCAGCUCCUCUCACUUGAAUGAGCUUUGCUUAGGUUCUGGAUCAGGCAGACAUUUGUUGUCUUCCUUGUGUUCACACUGCCCCUGUAUAUAUACUUCCACUGGAAUACUUCUAUAUAACACAUUUUUAUGGGCACAAUUGUGCUUUCCUUCUGGAUUGGAAAGGGCUAUGUCUCUUCAUCUUUGUGCCCCUGACCCAUAGAAGGCAUUCACUGAAUGAACAGAUUGAUAGAUGCCAACCCACAAAGUUCAGCUCAUCUAUUUCCCUACCUGCCAACAAGUCUGUACCUGUCUGUUCCCAGAUUGCAAAAGAGGUCCAGUUGCUUAGCUUCCUCAUUAGGCACUUGUGGACAUCAGUGGGAGAAGUGUGGUGUUUCUUUGGACUUGAACCUGUACUGUCUUCCCUUCACCUCCUCCUUUUCGUAGAAGUCUCAUUUAUUCCCAUGGCUUCAAAACUGUAUGUGUAUGACUCCUAAAUUUACAUCUCCAUCUCAAAUAUCUUCUCUAAUUUAGUCAGCUUUCCCAGAUUUAAUAACCAAUUGCCUGCCUGAUAUCUCCACUUGAAUGUCUCAGAAUAUUUUCAAAGUUUGCAUGCUUAAAAUGGAGCUCUUUGCAAUUCAUUUUUAUUUUUUUAUGUAUGCCCUAUGUCCAACGUGGGGCUUGAACUAAUGACUCUAGGAUCAAGAGUCCUGUGCUGU
Long non-coding RNA from Felis catus (domestic cat), 1946 nucleotides. RefSeq lists it as uncharacterized. Lineage: Eukaryota; Metazoa; Chordata; Mammalia; Carnivora; Felidae. The record is from RefSeq and is a predicted model, not a curated record. The transcript is spliced from 3 exons.